RNAcentral lists this long non-coding RNA (11887 nucleotides) under Eucalyptus grandis. Its description in RNAcentral is "long non-coding RNA (EGRA_LNC004134)". Lineage: Eukaryota; Viridiplantae; Streptophyta; Magnoliopsida; Myrtales; Myrtaceae. The record is from RNAcentral.
CCCACAAAUAAGUUUCAUAAUUGUCCCACAAAUAUGUUCCAUAAUUCAUAUAACACUAUCAUACAAAAUAUACUGUUCCGAGGCAUGCUCAGACCAUCAAAGUAGACGUAAUAAAAUAUUAAAUCACAGCAUGUUGCAUCACGACUCCAAAUUCACAUCACAACGGUUCAAGGAUUAGUAGCAGCCGCAGGCAUGUCCUUCGCAACGAAAGGCAAAGUUGGCUUAGGGAAAUCGGGGAGAUGAGGCAAUUCGGGCACUUCCGGCAAUUCCGGCUUCGGUAUUGUUGGUAAUUCAGGCUUUGGCAGUUCCGGAAGUGGCGGCAAUUCAACUUUUGGCAGUGAUGGCAAUUCUGGCUUUGGCAGGCUUGGGAUGUCGGGAAGGUGUGGCAAUCCGGGCUUCGGCAGUUCGGGCACCUCGGGCAACGUCUCCUCCAAAAUUCGGCUAGCUCCAACCGAGUUCUCGCCGGUCAUCAAGGACAAAGCAAAGACAAACAAUGCCAAAAGAUGCACAAGUCCGCGAUAGUUCGCCAUCGCAGGACCGAUCGACAAGCAAAUUUAAAAACUUCAAGUGAAGAAUCGAUGGAUCUCAAAUGAGGAGGUGCAGGUGUGCUUGAGCAAUGGCUUGAUGGAGGGUUUAUAAAGAGGAGGGACGUGGGGAUUAGGGAGAUUACAAGUAUGGUUUGGUGGGACUUUGUCGAAGUGUUAGUUCAACUUCUAGACCAAUCUCAUUUUCGUAUGUUCAACAACAACAUGGAGCAGAUAAUUCCAGAAAGGACCUUGCCAAUUAUUGGCUUUCAACGCUUGUAACCAUCAGUCGUGCUGGUAUUAUAGCUUUUGUUUUGGUUUUCCUAUAAAUCGUUAAUUGGUAACCGUACUACAAUCAUGAACUACGAUCAUUGUAAAUGAUAUCCUAAAAAUGACCAUCCCGAUACACGCACAUAUAUAUAGCUGAUUUACAUAUGAAAUUAAAAACUGAGACUAGGUAAAACUAUCUAACGUCUUGAAAUAUCUUUUCCGCAAUUCAUCUCAUGUGAUGGAAUGAUAGCCAAGCUUGCAAGGUUUUUCAAUUAUUUGAUAAAUUUAAGACUAUGUUCUUUGACUAGUAGUACACGUGAUUGAUGAACGAAUAAAAGAUCAUCAAAUAUUUGAUAACCAACGCAAUACUACCAUAGAAGUCUCAAAACAUAUCUCAAAUAUGAUGUAAUCGUAUGCUUUUAUGGAGCAGAAUAUAAAGUAUAUAUGUAUCUAUUACGGACCAGUUUGAAAUUGGUCUACUAUAUUAUAAUGACAUUCGAAAAUUAAAUGAAAAACUACUUUUCUUACCGAAAUUGAAUCUUGAGAAUUUUUCAAGGAAACUAAAAAUAUAAAGAAAAUACUCAAAAAAUUCUUAACCGGAAUACAUAUGUGAAAAGUAAGUCCAUUCAAUUUAACGAGAAAGACUCUUUUCUUUUCCAAAUAGAUUGAUAAGACUUUUUGCGGAAAAUAACAAUUUAAAGGAAAGUAUCUUAAGUCUCAAUCUAAAUAUAUUUAGGUGAUACUGUGUAGUAUUACAUAUAGAAAGAAGUCUUUUUAUUUUUUUCAAGGAAAUUUUGAGAGAGAAGAUUAUUAAAGAUUAACAUGUAUAUCAAAUAUUAUAUAAUGUAAUAAGUAUUGAAAUUAACUUCAUGGGAAUGAGAAAAUGUUUUGAUUAUUAAUUUAAGUAAAAUUGACUCUAUGAGACUCGAUAUGUGAUGUGGUAUAAAAAAGAAAAAAAAUGUAAAUAUAUCUAUAUUUGAGAGAGAGAGAGAGAGAGAGAUAAACUUUUCACUCGAAUUAGAAGUUGGAGCUAAAUAGAUUGACAUUAGGCGAAACAAUAUAUCAAGAAUAGAAAAAAAAAAUGAUCUAUAACGGCAAAGUUGUCUAUACAAUACAAUGUAUGCCAUGUUAUAGAAAACAUCGAUAAUAUUUAACAUAUAUCGAUACUAUAACAUAGAGCUUAAAAUUACUUCAAUUCAAUUCAAUACAAAAUGAAAUAAAAACAAACAUCAGAGUUGAUAUUACUUAAUUGAAGAAUGAUGAUUGCUUGAAACAUGAAAAAAUAGUUGUGUCAAAUUAAAAGGGAAAAUACUCUAUGAUAAAUUCAAGGGAAAAUUCCAAAAAGGUACCCGAAAUACCCUAUUUUUUUCAAAUAAGAGCCUAAAGUGAAUCUUAUUUCAAAUAAGGACUGAAGUGCAUUUGUUUUCUCAAAUAAGGGUUUAAAGUGGAUGUUAUUUCAAAUGAGGACCUAAAGUAAUUAUGUUUAUUUCAAAUAAGAGCAUGAAGUGGCUAUAUCCGUUUGAAAUAAGAACCCGUCUUUCUAGCGAUCAAUGGUAUUUUCGUCAUUUGUCAUUUGUCCAUUUUUUUUUUUUUUUUUUCCAUUUUUUUGACUAGCUCUUGUUCCUCUUCGCCAAUGGCCAGCCGGCCAUUGGCAAUGCCCACAAAGGGCUGAGCAAGAGAGUGAGGGUCACCACACUCAAGCAAGGCUGUCCGUCACUUGUGGGCAGGGUGGGUGGCCCUUGCUGGUGGGGGCGACCCUCGCUUAGCCCUUUGUGGGCAUCACUGGCAAAAAGGAAGAAGAAUAACCAAAAGAAAAAAAGGAAAGAAAAAAAAAGUGAAAUGCAAAAUGACAAAAAUACCCUUGGCUGGUUGGAAAAUUUAGCCACUCAGCGAUCGGCGAGAUCAGGUCUUUAUUUGAAACAACCAAAGCCACUUCAGGCCCUUAUUUGAAACAACUAAGGCUACUUUAGGUUCUUAUUUGAAACAAAAUCCAUUCCGGGCCCUCAUUUGAGAAAACAAUAACACUUCGGGUCUUUUUUUGAAAUUUUCCCUAAAUUCAAUUGAAGUAAAUAAGAUGUUCAAUAAGUGGAUUUAUAAUUUAUAUGUAAGAUAAAUGAACCUAUAUCACUCGAUCCUAUAACAAACAUGUAAUUUUGCUUAUUUUUCCUUCAAAUAUUUAAAUUCUAUGAUAAGUUAAAUGUGUAUAAAGUAGAUAAUGAGUUUUAAUAAAUAUAAAUUUGAUAUAUUUUGAAAUAUAAAACACAUGAAGCAUCAGAAAGUGUACUAGUUGUUUAAGAAAGAGUAACUAUAGCAUACUCCGUCGGUGUAAAAGAAGAGUUACACAAGAUAUCAUAAACUAUCAUACGAAUAAGUUCCAUAAUUCAUAUCACAAACUGUCAUACAAACGACUAUAUAUGGCAUAUAACAUUCUGAGGUGAACACUGACCAUUACAAUAGAAGUAAUAGAAUACUAAUUCAUAUCAUAUCGAAUCCCGACUACAAGUUCACAUCACAACGGUUCAAGGACUAGUAGCAGCGAUAGACGUGUCCUUCGAAACGGCAGGCAAUGUUGGCUUAGGGAAAUCGGGAAGGUGAGGCAAUUCAGGCACUUCUGGCUUUGGUAAAGUUGGAAAUUCAAGCUUUGGAAGUUUGGGCACUUCCGGCAAUUCUGGCUUCGGUAUUGUUGGAAAUUCAGGCUUUGGCAGCUCGGGAAGUGGCGGCAAUUCGACUUUUGGCAGAGAUGGCAGUUCUGGUUUUGGCAGGCUUGGGAUAUCGGGAAGCUGAGGCAAUUCUGGCUUCGGCAGUUCAGGCACUUCAGGCAACGUCGCGUCCAAAAGUUGGCGAGCUCCAACGCGGUUCUGGCCGAUUGUCAAAGACAGAGCAAGGACAAACAAUGACAAAAGAUUAGUGAGUCUGCAAUAGUUCGCCAUCGUGGAAUUGAGCGACUAGCAAACCGAAAAACUUUGAGUGAAGAAGCGGUGUGUUUGAGCAAUGGCUUGAUGGAGGGUUUUUAAAGAGGAGGGACGUGGGGAUUGGGGAGAUUACAAGUAUGUUUUGGUGGGAAAAAUAAUCUAAGUGUUGGUUCAACUUCUAAACCAAUCUCAUUUUCUUUUGUUCAACAACAAGAUGGAGAAGACUCCAAAAAGUUAUCUUGCCACUUCUGGGCUUUCUAAGUCUGUAACUAUCAGCUGUGCUAGAUUUCUCAGCUACGCGGGAAAAAGAAACGAAAGGAGAUGGUUCAUGAUUUCACUCUAUGUACAAUAGUAGGACGAAGUCCGGAGUUUUGGUUGAAGAAGUCAAUAAUUUAAGGAUAAAAAUCUAAGUUUUGUUAGCGAUCAUUGUACAUGAAAUGCAUACUCAUCUAAAACUUGUCUAAAUUUAUUAAGUGCAUUUAAUAAAUUCAUUAACCUUCUCUUAAGUUUUCCGUUCCCUUUCUCUAUUAUAUCCAUUCACGUGCACUCAAUACUUUUCAAUUUCAAUUUUUAUGUAUCCAUUUGCAUGCUAGAGUUAAGGACGAUGGUCACUUACAUUCAAUUUGUUUGUUUUUUUUUUUUUUUGGGGGUAUGCCUGGCCUUUUUUUCACCUAUAAGAGGGUAGAAUAUUUGUUAUUCUGGUCUUUAUGUGCAUUUCAUCUCCUUUUUUUCUCCUCAGAAAUGGGUCUUAGUUGCAAAAUUAAUUCAUCAGAAAUCGAUUUUUCUUUUUCCAAUUUGAUCUUGACUUGCUAUUGAAUGGAUAAUCGGUUAUCAUCACUCCCAAUUAGAUUAGAAAUAUGACUACAUCUCAAUAUAUCAAUUUACAUCCGAACUGUAAAAAAUGAGACUCGGCAAUAAUCUAUUUCUUAUGUAUGGAUCAUCUUUCUUACCGGUAUCUCGAAAAGCAAAUGAUUUUUUUUUUUGGCAUAAACAUUUUUGUUGAGUGUCUUAAAAAAUUAACUACAUUUAAAAAUGCAAAAAUACAAAGAGAUAAGAGGAAUGGUGAGGGAUUUUGAUUUCACAUGAAUUAGCAAAAACGAUUGAGAAUUUAUGAGCUGAAACUUAUUGAGAACUUAUGGGCUAAAACUUUCUUCUAUGCAAUCCAUCUUAAAUGACAAUAUAAUAGCCAACCUGGCAAGGCUUUUUUUUCUUUUUUAAACUAUUUAUGAAUUUUAUAUUAUGCUUUCCAGAUAGUAGUGUACGUAAUUGAUGAACAAACAAAAGAUCAAAAAAAUAUUUAAUAACCGACUUAAUACUACCAUAGAAGUUUCAACACAUAUCACAAAUAUGAUAUAACCAUAUUCUUGCAUGUGGUAGCUUAUUAACUAUAAAUGUAUCUAUAACACACGGGUUUGAAAACUAGUCUAAUAUAUAAUAGGGGCUUCUGAACAUUAAAUGCAUUCAAUUUAAUGAGAAACAUUCUUUUCUUAUCCAAAAUGAAGUUUUAGAUUUUUUUUUUCCCUUGACAUAGAAUUAGUCGCAGAAAAGAGUGGGAAUAUGCGAAACAAGAUCCAAGAAUAGAAAAAAAAAUGAUUUAAUAACAGUAAAGUUGACUAUGAUCUGCAUAAUAUAUUAUUUGAUAGAAAAAGUACAUAAUGACUAACAUGCAUCAACACCAUAACAUAUAGCGAAAUAUUACUUUGGUUUAAUCAGAUACAAAAUUUAGUAAAGUACAAAUAUUAGAGUUGAUUUUGCUUGACCAAAGAAUGACGAUUGCUUAAAAAUGACAAUAUUUGUGCCAAAUUAAAAGGAAAAAUAAUCUACGGUAGUUCAAUUUUAAUAAAGUAUGAUAUAUAAGAUGUUUGAUGACUUAAAGUGUAUUUAUAAUUUGUAUGUAAGACAAGUGUACCUAUCUCAAUCCAUCAUACAAUAAAAGACGCAUUUUUCUGAUUUUUUCUUCAAUUGUUUAGAUUAUGUCACCGUUAUCACUCUAAAAUUUUAAAUUCCCAUAUUAGUUAGAAGUGAAAAAAGUGGACAAGGAAGUAACAUAGAUUUCUUCUAUUUUGAAAUAUUAAACUCGUACAGAACAUAAGGGAGUGCACUAGCUAUAUUAAAAAGAGUAAUAAUAGUAUACACUAUCGAUGUAAAAAGAUAGUUACACAAAACAUCACAAACUGUGAAGGAGUUCCAUAAUUCAUAUCACUAAAACAAGUAUUGUAUAGUGUUCUGAGGUAUGCUCAGACCAUUAAAAUAGAAGUAAUAAAAAACUGAAUCGCAUCAUGUUGUAUAACGACUCCAAAUUCACAUUAAUGGCUCAAGGGCUAGUAGCAGCGACGGCUGUGUCCUUGGGAAUCGUGGGAACGAAAGGCAAUGUUGGCUUGGGAAAAUCAGGAAGAUGAGUCACUUCGGGCACUACCGGCAAUUCCGGCUUUGGUAUUGUUGGAAAUUCGGGCUUUGGUAGCUCAGGAAGCGGCGGCAAUUCGACUUUCGGCAGUGACGGGAAUUCUGUCUUUGGCAAGCUAGGGAUGUCAGGAAGUUGAGGUAAUUCGGGCUUCGGCAAUUCCGGCACUUCUAAGGACUCCGGCUUCGGUGUUGCUGGAAAUUCAGGCUUUGGUAGUUCAGGAAGCGGUGGCAAUUCGACUUUCGGCAAUGAUGGGAAUUCUGGCUUUGGCAAGCUAGGGAUGUCAGGAAGGUGAGGCAAUUCAGGCUUCGGUAGUUCGGGCACUUCGGGCAAGGUCGCCUCCAAAAGUCGGCGGGCUCCAACUGGCUUCUCACCAAUCAUCAAAGACAGAGCGAGGACAAACAAUGCCAAAAGGUGCGCGAGUCCAUGAUGGUUCGUCAUUGGAGAAUCAAUCGACUAGCAAAUUCAAAAGCUUUGAGUGAAGAAGCGGCGAAUCUCGAGUGAGAGAAGGUGCAGGUGUGCUUGAGCAAUGGCUUGAUGGAGGGCUUAUAAGGAGGAGGGACGUGGAGGAUUGGGGAGAAUGCAAGUAUGGUUUGGUGGGAAUAUUAUCAAAGGGUUAGGUCAACUUCUAAACCAAUCUCAUUUUUGUACGUUCAACAGCAAGAUAGAGCAUAUUAUUCCAAAAGGAGCUUGCCAAUUCUUGGCUUUUCAGGCUUCUGACUACCUGUUGAGGUGAGAAAGAGGGAGAGAAAAGAAAAGAAAAGAAAUGGUUUAUGAUCUCACUAUGUACAACAGGACUGGAGUCUUGGAGUCUUAAAAUAUUGGAGAAGCCAAUAAUGUAAGAGCAAAAUAAUAAAUAUUGUCAGUGAUCAUUAUUCAUGGAAUCUUUACUUGAUGCAAGGAUUACUCAAGUUUUAAGCAUGUAUGUUUUCUUUUGAGGCCUUGGUUCAAAUCCCUACAAUUGUGCAUUAUUUUCGAUGAUCUUUGAGAACAUAGGCAUGUAUGAAUCCGAUUAUCUCUCUAAUUGUGUGGGAUAAAACUACUCUUGCUGGAAAAAACAAAACUUUAGGUGACAACUUUUUGGGGACAGACAUAAAAGGAGAUCCUUAAAUAGAGUUUCUAGUUAGGGGUGAGUAGUUCUAAGGAUGGUUUAGGUUUCAACUUUCUUGGAACUUGAAAUUUACCUUAUUAAGACCGGUUUCCCAGUUUUUGAAACUUAAAACCUAUCAUGUAUAUCUUAAAAUUUGUGACCUGCUCUAUCAAUCGAAUCCAAAGUCUAUUAAGGAACCGGCUGAUUUCUCUUUUCUUUUCUUUUUCUUUUUUUUUUCUUGUUUCAUUUUAGUCAGCAAUAGAGAGAACAUAACAACAAAAAUCAUCAUUUGUCAAUAACAAUGAUCUAUAAAAUAUUAGCACCUAAAAUAAAAUAAACAAUAAAAAGUUGAAAACGCAUAAUGUAGAAUCCAAAUUUCAUGCUCUCAAAGGAGUCAAGAACCAUGAUAAAAACCAAGGAUUCGAAUGAAGGAACCUUUUUUUUCAUUUGAGCCUCGUGUAAUACCGUUCAUGUCAUGCUCUAUUUUAGGAUUACCUUGGUUCUUGUUCUAGUUCUUUGAUUUUCAGUCUGAUUCGUCGAUUCUUAGUUCAAUUCUAUUCAAUUCUUAAGAAUCGCAUAGAACAAGUUCCAAAAAAUGUGAAACCGAAAUUUGGAGCAUGCCCUUUAGAACCUAGAGACAGGUCGAUUCCCAUGACCUGUUUGGUCUUUCUUGAUUAUACUUGGGAAAUUUGCUCACCCCCAACUUCUUGUUCCGUCCCUACGGAAAUAUUGAAUGAGCCGUCGUUAAUGGUAAUAGUGUAAAUGAUUUAGUUUGGUUCGGUUUUUUGGGAAAACGGAACCAAACCGAACCGAUAAAGAAAUUUAUUGAAUCAAACUGAAAUUCCAUCCAAAUCGAAACCGAAUCGUCAAUGACAAAGCAAGGACAAAUAAUGCCAAAAGAUGCGAGAGCCCGCAGUAGUUCGCCAUCGUAGAACCAAUAUACUAGCAAAUUGAAAAACUUCGAGUGAAGAAGUGGAGGAUGUCAAGUGUAAAGGUGCAGGUGUGUUCGAGCAAUGGCUUGAUGGAGGGUUUUUAAAGAGGGACAUGGGGAUUGGGGAGAUUGCAAGUAUGUUUUGGAGGGAAAAUUAUCGAAGUGUUCGUUGAACUUCCAAACCAAUCUCAAUCUCUUUUGUUCAACAACAAGAUGGAGCCGAUAAUUCCAAAAAGGAUCUUUAUAUUCUUGGCAUUUUUAAGCUUGUAACUGCGAGUUGUGUUGGACUUCCUAGCUAGGAGGGAAAGACAAAAGAAAGGAAAUGAUUUAUGAUCUCACUCUAUGUACAAGAGGACGAAGUCCAUAGCUUUGGUCAGAGAAGUCAACAAUGUUGAGAGUAAAAUCUAAGUUUUGCCAAUGAUAAUUAUACACGAAAAGUAUUCUUGAUGUAAGGAUUGCUUAAGUGGUAGGCAUAUUCCUUCUCUUUCUCUGAUAAUUUCAUAAACCUAUGUAUCUGGUAAUUUCUUGAUAUGCGUGGGACAAGGCGGCAGCCACUGUUAAGGCUACCAUUUUGGGCCUCAAUAGAGAAGCUUAUGGUCAAGUUGAGGGUAAGGCCACCACCUUCGGAGGGAGUUGGUGGCGUACAAGCCGACUUCGGAGGAGAUGCUAAUUGCUUCCUGAAAAAGUGAGGGUUUAAGAUCCAUGAAAUUGCGAAGUUAAGAAGGAGAAGACUAAGUGGUAAAGAGAUUGAAGAACUGCCACCCUCGGAUGAAACUAAUGAUCGAAUGAAACAAUUCAAUUGGGUAAGCGUAGGACUCUGAGUCGAGAGCACCAAAGACAUCAAUCAAUUGGAUGGGGGAGAAUAUCAUGGACCGGAGGUUCUCAAGGUGCAAUAGGCUGAGGCGGUGGCCAUGUGACCGGGGGUGCCUUAGAUUUAGAGAAGCCUUGUCAUUAAUGGAGGUAUGUGGUAAAUGAAGAGAUAUAUAACUUUUUGUAUAUCUCCACUUUUUUCAUCCUAGGAAAAAUAGGUAUUCAUUACUCUGGUCUUUAUGUGUAUUUAAUUCUCUCUUUUCCUCUUCCCCUCAAAAAGGGCGGUCCUAGGGGCGCAAUCAAUUCGGGAGAAAUUAGUUUUUCUUUUCUUUAUUUGAUCUUGACCUGCAGUUGGAUGAAUAUUUGGUUAUUAUCCUUCUAAAUAAUAUGCUGAAUAUUACUAUAUCUCAAUAAAUAUAAACGCUGAUUCACAAUGAAAAAAAAUAAGAAUUGGUGAUCAUCUAUUCCUUAUGUAUGGAUCAUCCUUCUUAUCAGUAUCUAGGAAAGCAAUUGUUUUUUUUUUCUGGCAGAUAAUUUUUUUAUUAAUUCAAAUUCAUAUAUAUAUAUAUAUAUAUAUAUAUAUAUAUAUAUAUAUAUUUUGAGCAAGUCAAAUUCAUAUCUGUUAAGUGACAGCAAAAGUUAACUAUACUUCAAACAGAAAUACAUCGAGCCAAACGAAAAAUUGGUGAGGGAUUCUUUAUUUAUAAGAAGUAGCAAAACUGAUUUAGAUCUUAUGUCCUGAAAUUAUCUUUUGUGAUCCGUCUCAUCUUAUAACAUAAUGUUCAAGCUCGCAAGGUUUUUCACAGUUCGGGUAUUGGUGUCCCCGUAGGCUUAUACAAGGUUUUUUUUUGUAAUAGUAAGCUUAUGGAAAUAUAUAUAUAUAUAUAUAUAUAUAUAUAUAUAUGUAACUAUAUUUGUACAAUAAGGAGAGAAAUUGACUUUUUCGCUUGAAAUAGAAAGUGUAACAGAAUAGACUAACAAUAUGCGAACUGGUCAAUAUCAUGAAAAACUAUAAACUGAUACAUUUGUGAUAAGUUUACUUCUAUCUAAUUAUUUGGCCACAAAAAACUCCAACCAAUACACUUAUGACAAAUUUACCUAAAAUUAAUAUUUUGACCAUGAAAACAUUUAAAUUGGUACACCUAAAAUAAAUUUACCAAAAACUAAUUUUUUGACCACUAAAAAUCUCAAAUUGAUAUACACCUAACAAAUUUACCCAAACUAGUUUUUUGACCACUAAAAAACCCCAAAGUGGUAUAUAUAAGGCAAAUUUCUUCUAUAUUAGCUUUUCUUAAACUGGAUUAACACCAUGACAAACCACAAACUAAAACAGACCGGGGGGGGGGGGUAAUAUCCCAAACUAAUAUUUUUUUCAACCAUCACGUAUCAUCUAACUUAGUAAUUUAAUAGUGAAAUUUAAAAUAAAAUAAUGGAUGGUAAAUUUGUUAUAAGUAUAUUAGUUAUGGUUUUAGUUUGGGAUAAAUUUAUCACAUGUGUACUAGUUUGGGGUUUUUAGUGAUAAAAAAAUUAGUUAAGGAUAAAUUUAUCAAAAGUGUAUCAGUUUAGUGUUUUUAAUGUACCCGUUUGGAGUUUCUAUUCUUGAGAAUAGGAAAAUAGAAAAAAAAAGAAAGAUCUAUCAAUAAAAUUGACUAUACCAUAUACAAUAUAUUAUGUGAUAGGGAACACGUAUAUAUUAAUUAACACUCGUCAAUACUUUAAUAUAUAGCGUAUAAUUACUUUGGUUCAAUCCAAUAUGAAUUGCAGUGAAUAAUUUUUUUUAUUUAUUACCUAAUUAAAGAAUGAUGAUUGGUUGGAAAACGACAACAUAGUCAUGUCAAUUUUAGAAAUAUAUAUAACUCAUGAUGAAUUCAUUUUAAGUAUACAUAUAAGACAAACGAACCUCCAUUGUUACGAACGGUUGAUAUAUUGAAAAAUCUCAAACUAGUACACAUGUGAUAAAUUUAUCUUAAACUAAUUUUUUGACCAUGAAAAACCCCAAAUUGGUACACCCGUGAUAAAUUUACCCCGACUGAUCAUAAAAAAAAAAAAAAUCUCAAAUUAGUACAUUUGUAAUAGAUUUAUCCCAAACUAAUUUAUUCGAUCGCCAAAAAACCCAAAUCGGUACAUUUGUGACAAAUAUACCCUCUAUUAAGUUAGAUUAAUAUCAUAAAAAAAUCACAAAAAUUGUAUGAUGGUAACAAAUGGAGAAUAAAAUCUCAAAUUGGUAUACCAGUAAAUUGCCGCAUGUCAUUCAAUUUAGUAAUUUGAUAGUAAAAUUUAACGGAAACAAAUAGAGAGUAAAUUUAUCACAAAUAUACUAGAUUUGGGUAUAUUUGUUAAAGGUAUACCGGUUUAGGAUUUUUGCUAAAAAAAUUAGUUUGUGGUAAAUUUGUUACGACUGUACCAGUUUGGGGUUUUUCAAGAUAUUAACCCAAUAAUGAAUGACGCAUUUUAUUUUUCUUGAUUUUUUCUUUGAUUAUUUGAAUUUCAUAAGUAUUGUCAUUACUAGAACUCAUAUAAAUUAAAUUUUCAUAUUAGUUAUAUGUGAAACAAGAUAAGGAGUUUCAGCAAACAUGAGUUUCAACAAAUUUGGAAAUAUAGAACUCAUGUGAAGCAUGCUCGAGUGCACUAGGUAUUUAAGAAAGAGUAAUUAUAGCAACUCCGUCGGAUGUAAUAGUUAAGUUACUCAAGAUAUCACAAAUUGUCCCACAAAUAAGUUUCAUAAUUGUCCCACAAAUAUGUUCCAUAAUUCAUAUAACACUAUCAUACAAAAUAUACUGUUCCGAGGCAUGCUCAGACCAUCAAAGUAGACGUAAUAAAAUAUUAAAUAACAGCAUGUUGCAUCACGACUCCAAAUUCACAUCACAACGGUUCAAGGAUUAGUAGCAGCCGCAGGCAUGUCCUUCGCAACGAAAGGCAAAGUUGGCUUAGGGAAAUCGGGGAGAUGAG